AACUAAGUAAUCUUAACAGAAUGCAAUUUCAAUCACAUAUAUAAAGAAGAAAACGAUAAUUUAACUAAUUUUUAACAGAUUUACAUGAUGAUAACACUAAUAUAACAUUCAUCUUGAAACAAAAUCAGAUCUAAUAUGUUCCAUCAACCAAACCGGGAUCAAAUCCUUCUUAUUAUCAUCAAGAAUCUGCAAUAUAAUAAUUUGAAAGUUACCUGGUUUGUGGAAUAAUAAAAUACAGCAGUGCAGCAACAAAAAAACCUCAGCAGCAAAUACAGUAGAAACAACAACAACUCAAGUGUUAAGAAAACUCAGAAAACUCAACAAAGAUGCUUGAAACUGGUAGCUAUCAACUUCACAAAUUGCCUGAGGGUUCUUUCUAUUUUUCUCGAGGUUUUUGCACUCAAAAAUCCUCACAAAACUCUGAAAUUUCACCUUGUUAUAUGUAUUAAGCUGCUGAUUUUUCUCAAAGAUAUAUGUCUUUAAGCAACUCUCCAAGAUAUGUCUCAGUAUAAGAUAGAGUGUGUAAUAGAGUGUCCCCUUUUUCAGUGAGUAGGCGUCUGCAUUCUAAGUGUAAGAGAGUCCCUUUUAUAGGAGAAAAGCAGCCCUUUCAAUAGGCAAAUAAAGUUAGAUUUUUUGGACAGAUUUUGGUUCACAAAACAUCUGUCCAAAAGACUGACUUUGUGUGCUAAUCACUGUUCAAGGUCUGUCCCAAAGAUGAAAGGAUAACCUGAAAAUCUGCUGUGUCAGAAGUAAUGAGAAAAAAUGUCCUUUCAGCUACCAUACUAGUAAAAGUAAGCUACUAUUACCCUAUUUUGUGAUAAAAUAAACUAAACUUUAGAUUUUAACUAUCAACAACAAACUACUUGCUCAACACAAAUCAAACUUGGACAACUAUGAACUGACAAAGCAUAGACGAGACUAAAAACAUAAUUGAACUAAGUAUUAAAACCAACUUGAUGGGAAUGAAUUCGAUUUGUGCAAAAUAAUUACUAAACAAACAACUAAAUUCACAAACUAAUGCUCAAAACAGAACGAGCAUCGUUAACAAUCGGACAACGACUAACAACAACUAAAUAAUCGACUAACUAAGUGAACGAUUUAACUAAUACACUAAAGAUCAUGUUUAAAUCAAUAACGAAUCUAACAAACCACUAAACUAAAUAGAGAUAGCUAAUUAAAUAAACCUAACUUGAAACUCUAAUUAAUAAGGAAUAACCAAAAAAGAAAAAUAAAUAAAUAAAUAAAAAUCAGAAACUAAUCUACUAAAUAAAAAAAAGUCAGAAAUUAAUUAAAGAGAUGACGAUUAUACCUAACAAGUAUGCUUGAAGUCAUUCGAGCCACGAGAAGAUGCCGGAGAUGCUAAAAGGCGACUACCCGACUCUGAAACGCAUGUUUCUUUCGGGUAGAUGCUAGAACGAAA
RNAcentral lists this long non-coding RNA (1420 nucleotides) under Nicotiana tabacum (common tobacco). RNAcentral describes it as "long non-coding RNA (NTAB_LNC018992)". The record is from RNAcentral. Lineage: Eukaryota; Viridiplantae; Streptophyta; Magnoliopsida; Solanales; Solanaceae.